Molecule: ribosomal RNA, 301 nt
Filed under: uncultured bacterium
Lineage: Bacteria
Description: partial 16S ribosomal RNA
Rfam family: Bacterial small subunit ribosomal RNA
Source: RNAcentral
CAGCCGCCACGGUAAUACGUAGGGUGCAAGCGUUAAUCGGAAUUACUGGGCGUAAAGCGUGCGUAGGUGGUGGUUUAAGUCCGUUGUGAAAGCCCUGGGCUCAACCUGGGAAUUGCAGUGGAUACUGGGUCACUAGAGUGUGGUAGAGGAUAGUGGAAUUUCCGGUGUAGCAGUGAAAUGCGUAGAGAUCGGAAGGAACAUCUGUGGCGAAGGCGACUAUCUGGGCCAACACUGACACUGAGGCACGAAAGCGUGGGGAGCAAACAGGAUUAGAUACCCCUGUAGUCCCUGUCUCUUAUAC